This 73-nucleotide transfer RNA is filed under the name Diaphorina citri (Asian citrus psyllid). It matches the Rfam family "tRNA". Rfam says of the family: Transfer RNA (tRNA) molecules are approximately 80 nucleotides in length. Their secondary structure includes four short double-helical elements and three loops (D, anti-codon, and T loops). The record is from Rfam by way of RNAcentral. Lineage: Eukaryota; Metazoa; Arthropoda; Insecta; Hemiptera; Psyllidae.
GCCUAGUUAGCUCAGAGGGUAGCGCGUCUGCCUUGUAAGCGCUAGGUCGAGGGUUCGAUUCCCGCCCGGGGCG